GCGGAAGGAUCAUUCAUGAAAUGCAAGGAUGCUCUUUUUAGAGGUCCGACCCAAUUCAUUCCUUCACACUGUGCACACACUACUUUUCACACCUUUUAAACACAAUAAGAAUAAGAAUGUCAUCGUCUCUUAAUUGAGCAUAAACUAUUAAAACUUUCGGCAACGGAUCUCUUGGCUCCCGCAUCGAUGAAGAACGCAGCGAAAUGCGAUACGUAAUGUGAAUUGCAGAAUUCAGUGAAUCAUCGAAUCUUUGAACGCACCUUGCACUCUUUGGUAUUCCGAAGAGUAUGUCUGUUUGAGUGUCGUGAAACUCUCAACCCCCCCUGUUUUGUAAUGAGACGGGCGCGGGCUUGGACCGUGGCUGCUGCCGGACUCUCAGAGACCGGCCCGGCUGAAAUACAUGAGCGACCACAUUGGAUACAGUGACGGUUUGACUCGGCGUAAUAAUACUAUCUCGCUGAGGACGUUGCAUAAUCUAAAUAGGCGCUUCUAAUGCGAUUACUUUAAGCUUUAGACCUCAAAUCAGAUAGGGCUACCCGCUGAACUUAAGCAUAUCAAU
Molecule: ribosomal RNA, 559 nt
Filed under: Rhodotorula sp. 10.10.L31
Lineage: Eukaryota; Fungi; Basidiomycota; Microbotryomycetes; Sporidiobolales; Sporidiobolaceae
Description: eukaryotic LSU rRNA
Rfam family: 5.8S ribosomal RNA (bases 152-305)
Source: RNAcentral